This 73-nucleotide transfer RNA is filed under the name Candidatus Woesearchaeota archaeon. RNAcentral's name for it is "tRNA-Val". It matches the Rfam family "tRNA". Rfam says of the family: Transfer RNA (tRNA) molecules are approximately 80 nucleotides in length. Their secondary structure includes four short double-helical elements and three loops (D, anti-codon, and T loops). Lineage: Archaea; Nanobdellati; Candidatus Woesearchaeota. The record is from RNAcentral.
GAGCCGGUGGUCUAGCGGUUAUGAUGCGUCCCUUACAAGGACGGGGUCGAAGGUUCAAAUCCUUCCCGGCUCA